Molecule: long non-coding RNA, 2929 nt
Filed under: Androctonus crassicauda
Lineage: Eukaryota; Metazoa; Arthropoda; Arachnida; Scorpiones; Buthidae
Source: RNAcentral
CAACUUUCAUACGUUUAAAAAAAAGUGUAAAAAGUUGAUUUAAUUUCCUAAUUUAUGCUCCGCUGCCUCUAAUCAAAUCAACUUUCAUACGUUUAAAAAAAUGUUAAUCAUAAAAAGUGAACCGAAAUUUUUUUUUUCUUCUAUUAAAAAAUGGUAUUUAUUAAAAACAGUUUAAAACGGUCAACGAGUUGGAAUCUGCCAUAUUUUAAGAAAACAAAAAUCGAUGCAAGAAUCAUCUCAAUUAUUUGGCUAGAUGCCGAAGAAACUCCUUAUCACUCUCAUCAGUCGAUACGCCACAUUUCUCAUUGUCAAAACGUGAUCUUCUUUUAAAAAAUUCUCAGCUAAUCAAACGCGUGGCAUACUUCGAAUGAUAAUAUGCAUAGCACAGUUUGAGUGCAACACGUUCCGGAUGAAGAUUGCCAAGAGGGAAGAAAUGAUGUCUAUUUUGCGAACGUCUCCUCACAAAACUCUUGCUCGGAGUCAAAAGGCAUCGUAAUCUUUACACUAAAUCGAUUCUGUAAAACUUCACAUCACGCAUGUGCGCAUUUUUACCUUAAGAUCGAUCCAACGUAUAUUACUGUCAAUCGUAUUUCAAUUGUUUGUGAUGGAUGAUUGCUGUUUGGAUAGUAGACUCCUACCUAAGCUAACUUAACCCGACGUGAUCAUUUUUUUUCUUCUUCUUCUUUUUUAAUUCCUUUAGCUUUAUAUAUAUACACUCUGUGCCAUCAUUUCUAAUUCCGCAGCUGCGCUCUUCUCUGAUGUGCUAGUUUAGAACAUUAUUGUUGCACGGAAAUUGGACUUGAACAGAUUGUAACUUCCCACACGUCGGUCUUCACGACAGAUAAACACGUAUUUACCUUAAAAGGGGGGAAGGAAGUUUAUAAAUGUUUGUUAUAAACUUUUAUAAAUCCGAGAGAAAAAUAAUAAAACCCGCUAAGUUGUUUCUAAAACUCGAAUGGUUUAUUAUUAUAAAUUUUUCUCUUCCUCUCUUUCGAUUAAAAAAGUUAGUUUGUAGAGAGUUGUUAGUAAGGAAUUUCGCAGAUUUUCUUCUCUGUAUUUUUUGCCACGGCAGUGUGGUAAUCUUGUAAACCAUGUAAGAACGUUUGCUUCUGUUGCCUACCUAUGGCGACAUCAAGAAGUGGUAAACAGAAUAAAGGAUAGGAGCUGUCUCCUGAUCAAAUCAACAAGACAAACAGUUGUACCUAUAAAAAGACGUAAAGGAUGGGUGAAAGUCGCAAGCAACAUUCAAGAAAGAAAUGGAAAACAAAGUAGACAAGGCUGAUUCCCUCUCUCCUCUUUCCCAAUACAGCUACGCCUCAUUACGUGUCUGGCCAAAGAGAAACUGCAAAUCAAUUUUCCCGUAGGAUUUACUUUGAGAUAGAAAAUAUAACGUCUGUAAAUAGGAAGCAAUGAUUUUUGUCCAUUCCUCUGAGACAUGGAAGCAAUAGUCUGGCGCAUGACUUUCAGAGAUUGAUGACAUUCAUCCUUCCCUUUUCCUUAAAGUUCGCCUGGGAUCUAGUUGACCUUUUACAAUAAAACCUUUAUAUUUUGUUUAAGAUUCGUUCCACGUCGCGAUAAAUCGGUUUAGGCGUGUUUACUUCUGGAUGCAAUAUAACAACAACCGUUAAUCCGAUAGGAAUAGUCAGGAACGAUUUGCAACCGGGAAAAUAAUUGAUCAGAGCUUUCCACUGAUUGGUUAGCUGAUGUGUUUCUCCAGUUGGCAAAACUAAUUCGUUUAGUCCAUUCGUUACCCGAACUAAUACCGGAGAUGCGCCACAUUAAAAAUCCAUACUCGUGUUGCAGCAGCAUCAAAAACCAUCCUCACUGGCGAAGAUUCAUGCGGAAUUAGAAAGAUUAGGAAAAAAAAAACUCUGCCAAGUGUUUACAAAUUCCUAGAAGAGUCGAUAAUUUCUGCAAGUUUUUAAAUGGAUUCUUUACCGUUCUAGUUCAUGCAUGCCAGAAAAUAUAUGCAUUAAUAAAUUCAUAAGUUUUCGUUUUCACGAAUAUAUGUAUAUUCUCCCCGGUGGAGUACCACUCGAAAGAGUUUUUUAAGUGGUUGGCCACACUUAAAAGAGUUUAAGAUAAUGGUUAGAAGUGGAAUGCGAGAUUUUCGGUCAGUGAAUCUAUUGUAAUUGUCCUCUAGUGGAACCAAUCAGCCAAGUAUAAACUCUGCAAUAAUUGUCACUCUGCAAGUUCAUCGACCCUGACUCCAAGAGACGUACUGCUAAACAGCUUUUCAUUUCCGGUAAGAGUUUUAAAUCGCCACGUUCUGAAAUAUUUUAAAGUUUAAAAGUCACGUUGCUCCAUAAAAAUCGUGCAUAAGUUUACUUUACGCAAGCAAAAGUGCAACUGCGAAUCCAUCCCCUCUCUCUCUCUCUCUCUCUCUCUCUCGCUCGCUUUGCUCUCGAAUAAUAGAGUCACCUUCACUCGCAGCUAGCCCAUCAAGGUGACGUGUUGACUAAUGUCCUCUUUUCCUGGACUAAUAAACACGAGCCCGCUCUCAGGCAAGAGGCUACGAGCCGACAAAGUAAUCUAGUUUGAAGUUGGCUCUCCACUCAUCUUAGCCAUCCCGAAAAUUAUGUUUCUGAUGAAGUGACUCACGCUCAUCUCUCUCUCGUUUCUCAGAAUGUUUGAAGUAUCCUACACAAAUUACAAAAUUUAUGUUUUGCGGGUGGAAAAUUGAUUAUUCAGGCGGAGAGGGGGGGAAAAUAAAAAUUUAUAUUUAUUUUUUUUUCUUUCCUCUCUCCUCUUUCUCCUUCAAUUCUGACACACUGUUACCUCCCAAGAGAUUAUUAUAAUUUUUAACAGGCUUUUAUAACUGUAAACAAGUUAAAAUUUUCGCAGUAGGGCGGUUUUUACGAGGUCGCAUAACCGAUUAUUAAUAACCAUUAAAGACGGUUUUUUUUUUUUCUUUUUUUUUCUUUCUUUC